GGCCCGGUAGCUCAGUGGUAGAGCGCAGCCCUGAAGAGGCUGGCGUCGUCAGUUCGAUUCUGACCUGGGCCACCA
RNAcentral lists this transfer RNA (75 nucleotides) under Candidatus Peregrinibacteria bacterium. RNAcentral describes it as "tRNA-Phe". It matches the Rfam family "tRNA". Rfam says of the family: Transfer RNA (tRNA) molecules are approximately 80 nucleotides in length. Their secondary structure includes four short double-helical elements and three loops (D, anti-codon, and T loops). Lineage: Bacteria; Candidatus Peregrinibacteriota. The record is from RNAcentral.